GUUUGGUAACCGUAACCCGAAUAUUGUCAUCGGAUUCGUGUAAAAGCUCAGGACACACCAAACCCACCGCAGGAGAUGGUCCCCCUCCCAGCUCCCACCCCUGCAAGCAGCACCCAUGGGUGCAUGGAGGCCAAACCUGCUUCCCUCCAUCUCUGAGCAUGGUCUUUGUUGGACCUGACCCACCGGGGCCAGCCCUGAGCUGGGCCUUUUGUGUCCUACAGCAUUUUUAACUCCAGCUGAAAGUGGCUGCAACUGCAACAGCCUGGUGCAAAGCCCUGGGGCCAUAUGGGGCGGCCCCACACCAGGAACCUACUUGUCCAGGGACCAAGGUGACACAGGGCUGGAUCUCCACCACCCUGCAAGCAAGCCAGGCUGGAGGAUGAGUUUUGUGUGGGAGCACACAAGGAAAGGCUUUGAGAAACCCUAAGCAUCUGGAUGGAGGAACCCAUCCAAGGGAUGGAGGAAACUGCCCAGGGGAAAGGCCUAUCCAAAGGAUGGAGGAAUCUAUCCAAGGCAUGAACUCAUCCAAGGGAUGGAGGAACCCAUCCAAGGGAUUGGAGGGACCCAGUCAAGGGAUGAACUCAUCCAAGGGAUGGAGGAACCCAUCCAAGGGAUUGGAGGGACCUACCCAUGUAAUGAACUCAUCUGAGAGGGAUGGAGGAAACCACCCAGGGGAUGGUCUUACCCAAGGGAUGGAAGGACCUACGCCCAGGAGAUGGUCUUACCCAAGGGAUGGAAGGACCUACCCAAGGGAUGAACUCAUCCAAGGGAUGAAGGAACCCAUCCAAGGGUUGGAGGGACCUACCCAUGUGAUGAACUCAUCUGAGGGAUGGAGGAACCCAUCCGAGGGAUGGAGGAAACCACCCAGGGGAUGGUCUUACCCAAGGGAUGGAAGGACCUACCCAAGGGAUGGAAGAAUCUACCCAAGGGAUGGAGGAACCGAUACAAGGGUUGGAGGGACUCAAGGGUUGAACCCAUCCAAGGGAUGGAGGAACCCAUCCAAGGGAUGGAGAGAGCUGCCUGCCACUCCACUGUCAGUGGUUCCAGGGAUGCUGAGACGCUGCCCAUCAUGCUGAGCCCCUCCUACAAACCCAUCAAACAUCCUGCCCGCUUUUCCCCGGCUUCACCCCAAGCUCUGCCACCACCCGGGAUGUUCACCCACCUGCUGGCAAAUUAAGGCUUAAAAAAAACCCCAAACCCCAGCCAAACCGAUAAUAAUAACAAUAAUAAUAAUAAUAAUAAUAAUAAUAAUAAUAAUAAUUGGCCCGAGCCACCCCGGGAGCAGGACGGAGCAUCCUCGAGCAUCUCAACACACACACACACACACGCUCCCUUCCAGUUCUAUUAAGGACUCCUAUUCCUAACGACCAAAGGACAAACAUCUCCCUCUUCAAACCCAAUUAUCUCCCUGCUAUUUAUACGGAGCGAGGGCCGCAGGAACGGCCGUUACUCAUCUCUCCCGCCCGCCCCGGUGGUCCUGGGGGCUGCUCCUUCCUCCCCUGCCUCAUCCUCAGCCGCUGACUCACAGGAAGGGCAAAAGUGAUGCUGGUUUGGGAUUUUUAGCUGCCAAAACACACCGGUUGGUUCAGCACCGACUCCAGGGUCGGUGGAUGCUGCUGGUACCCAACAUCCAGGGGAUGCUCCCAUCCCUCCAACCCCCCCCGGUGAUGCUGCGGGGGGCCAAUUCCCAGUUUUUUGGGGGCAGUUUGGGGGGAAGCAGUGACGCCGAAGACAAAAGGGAGGAAAGGUGGGAAAGGGAACUCCCCCCCCAUCCCGUGUGAUUUAUUUUGGGGGGGGGGGGGGAAGGAAAUUUGGAGGGUUUUUUUUUUUUUUUUGCUUUUUUUUUUUCCAGAAGAGUUUGCCUUGCUACGACUGUUUGCUUAAGAAGCUAUUGAAAAGAUCUUC
RNAcentral lists this long non-coding RNA (1905 nucleotides) under Calidris pugnax (ruff). RNAcentral's name for it is "lncRNA (ENSCPUG00000006717.1)". The record is from RNAcentral. Lineage: Eukaryota; Metazoa; Chordata; Aves; Charadriiformes; Scolopacidae.